GAUGAACGCUGGCGGCGUGCUUAACACAUGCAAGUCGAACGGAAAGGCCCAAGCUUGCUUGGGUACUCGAGUGGCGAACGGGUGAGUAACACGUGGGUGAUCUGCCCUGCACUUCGGGAUAAGCCUGGGAAACUGGGUCUAAUACCGGAUAGGACGAUGGUUUGGAUGCCAUUGUGGAAAGUUUUUUCGGUGUGGGAUGAGCUCGCGGCCUAUCAGCUUGUUGGUGGGGUAAUGGCCUACCAAGGCGUCGACGGGUAGCCGGCCUGAGAGGGUGUACGGCCACAUUGGGACUGAGAUACGGCCCAGACUCCUAAGGGAGGCAGCAGGGGGGAAUAUUGCACAAUGGGCGCAAGCCUGAUGCAGCGACGCCGCGUGGGGGAUGACGGCCUUCGGGUUGUAAACUCCUUUCGCUAGGGACGAAGCGUUUUUGUGACGGUACCUGGAGAAGAAGCACCGGCUAACUACGUG
RNAcentral lists this ribosomal RNA (468 nucleotides) under uncultured bacterium. Its description in RNAcentral is "partial 16S ribosomal RNA". It matches the Rfam family "Bacterial small subunit ribosomal RNA", at positions 28 to 507 of the family's 1533-position model. The record is from RNAcentral.